GUUCAACAGGUCGUAUGGUGAAAGGUCACCUGCUCUUUGUUUACGUUUUGUUAUUAACGGUGCAUGGCCGAUGGAUAGCUAAAGUAAAACUGCAUACUUCGUGUACAUUUUGUUAAAAACACUGAGCUAAAACCUUUCACUGCGACAAGCUGGGAAAAAUUUAAGGUAUGUGCUAACCAGUGGAUCAAAUUAGAUGGAAAUGGCGGGCUUGUGCCGGAGACAAAUGCCGAUUUGCUGGACAAAGCAGGAAUGUGCAGACAAAACUCUCACUGAGGUAUGGUAUAGGCUACUAUUUCUCACAUUCCACGUUAACAAAACUGUGUAUGAAACAUUAUCACGAUUCCAAAAUUGUUGAAGAAAGUGAUGUUUAGAAACAAGCAGCAAAAAGAAAAAAAAACAAAAAGAGAAAGAGAAUAAAAUAAUAGGUCUGGUUAAUUUGUUUAAGGGGAUCGGAUCAUAUCUUAACAUUUUCCCCAUUUUCUUACAAAUGCAAGCUGAUGAAGAUAUUCUCCUAAAUGCAUGACAACCCAGACCAAGGACUACUCGGCCCAAGACCACUCAGACAAAUAGAGAAGUCCACUCAUACAAGACAGAAGACCACUAUGUCACCAUUAUUGAGGUGAAAUACAAUGCGCAAUACUCAUACCCAAGUUGUCAUGGAGAGAGAGAAAUGGGGUUUAACGUCCUCUCGACACAAACUUUAUCAUUUCGGGACUAACAUAUGGUUUAAUUUUUUUUAUUUCAAUAAUUCGAUUGCGCGUAGGGGUCUUUAGCAGUGGGAGGCCCCGGAGAAAACCCACAACCGGGGAUUCGAAACCACACCUGUUGACUUAAUGACAGGCUUUAUGAUACAGUACGCACAUGCUAACAAUUCGGCCAUCCAACCCCCAUGUUAUGGAGAAAAUUAGAACCGAAAUAGAUGAGUUAGUACAAGUGCACUUACUUUUUUUGAAAAAAAGGGGCAUAUUCUGGCGCAUUCCUCCCUGGUUGCCUGACUGUAGCUGUGGAAAUUUAAACCCCUCUUGUUAAACUCUAUUGAACAAAUGACAGGGUUAGGGUGACUAGAGAUCAAGCACCAAACAAAAUUUUCAAUGUGAAUGUAAAUCAAGCUGCAUUACACUUUUACAGAUAGAUCAGUAAUAGAUGUACUUGUUACAAGUGAAAACUUUCUUGUAUGGAUUUGUGUAUAUUGUUCGAAUAUAAAAGUGACACCCAAACAUAUGCUGACAGUGACAUUGAUUUUAAUAGCGAUAUGAUAUUGAUGAAAUUAUGUGAGUAGGCCUACACCUAUAUACAUGUACUUUUGUAAGCGGUUUACAUUUUAAAUAUGUUUUACUUAAAUGUACUGUACAUGUCAAUAAAUUUUCAUAUUAUAUUUUGUCACUUUAUGCUUACUAUAUGUUUUUAUUUUACUUUUUUAUUCUAAUUCAUUUCCGACGGUUUCCCCUUGUCAGUGGUGCAGGCGGAGGGGCUGACAAGGCACAAGGACAGCAGUCUAGUCGAGGUCCCGUGUAUACAUUGGUGUACACGUAAAAAGAUCCCUUGGCAGUUGUAAUUCGAUAUAAACAUAUAUGGACAAUGUAUGGGGGUAGCAGUAACGACAUCCCAUAACAAUAGCCACCAUUUGAAAACGUUUUUAAACGAUCUAGGACAGCAAGAUUAAAUAUAAAUAAAUAGUCAUGAUUUGAAA
This is a long non-coding RNA of Patella vulgata (common limpet), 1690 nucleotides long. RefSeq lists it as uncharacterized. The transcript is spliced from 2 exons. Lineage: Eukaryota; Metazoa; Mollusca; Gastropoda; Patellidae. The record is from RefSeq and is a predicted model, not a curated record.